AGGUGAUGUCAGUAUUCAGGUUAGAGUUUGAAAUUCAGUGAACAGGGUAGACCACACUGAAAAGGUGAUUUUUUUUUAGGGCCACACCCACAGCAUAUGGAGGUUCCCAGGCUAAGGGUUGAACUGGAGCUGUAGCUGCCAGCCUACACCACAGCUGCAGCAACGUGGGAUCUGAGCAAUGCUGGAUCCUUAACCCACUGAGUGAGACCAGGGAUCAAACCGUCAAACUCAUGGUUACUAGUUGGAUUCGUUUCUGCUGCACCACAAAGGGAACUCGCUGAGAAGGUCAAAAUAGCCAUGCAGAUCCCUAAAGGGGUAAAUGGUUGGCCUGAGUAAGAUGAAGAUGUACCUGUGUGCACAGCGGGUAGAAAGAUUUGACUCAUCAGGACUCUGGACCAAUUGCUAUUUCAGUGUUAGCUUCUAUUUUCCCCAAUGUAUUUCCAUCCAUGAAGUAUUUCUCCAUCUCUCUACCUUAUCCCUGUUCUUUCUUUUUUACAUUUCCCUCUAAUCUAAAUCACAAACACAGUGUCAAGGUUAAGUCUUCUUUUAAAUCUUUUCGGUUUAACUUUUAUGAAGAAAAAUAUCCACCAAGAACAAUGCCUAAAAACAAAUAAUCAAAUAAAUUCAGCAGGACAUCUUGCUGAUGAAACAUAAGAUAACAGCCUUGUCAUCUUAUACACAUAUUUACAAAUCCUUGAGGGGUUGAUAAAGAAUGAUUAUAUAUGUACUGCCAAGCUAUACUUGAACUCCCAGUUUGGGGUUCAUUUCACAUUCCUUCCUAUUGAUAUUGUUUUUGUACUCAAAAUUAUAAAGUUGUUAAAUGAAGUGGCACCAAAUUUCACUGAAGGAGGAGGGAGAGGAAAGAAUUUUUAUUCAAUUAUCCUUACAACUUUCAGCUCAUUUGUACAUUAUAAUUUCUUUCUUGGAAUCACCUGCCUCCAUCUUGAACAGGAGAGAGAGAGAGAGACUCUAACACUUUGACAAGCAAAGUACUUGAAUAAUGAUUUCACUUCUCACUCAGAAUAAAUUAGCAAGAUGCUUUUGAAGCUAUUUUGUUAAUAUCACUUCAUACCGCAUAUUUCAUGCAAAAAAGAAAAAGUGAGACACUUCAGUACUGACCAUUUAUACUUCUCUUUCUAAUCCACAAUAUGGUACUUUCUCAGUUUGCAAAGUCUCUUUCUGUAAUUAAGAAAAUAAUAUUCUGAAUCUAUUUUAAGUUUUUGACAUGAGCAAAAAAUACUGGGUGCAAUUGAAACAAGUAGCUGAAAAUUGGUGUUUUUAAUUUUAUUUAAAUCUAGGCAAAAUCAAUUUUUAGAGCAUAGGGCUUAGUUUUCAUUCCUGACCCACACUGUCAAGGAUAUCUAAAAAGAUGGGAUAGAUUUCACAAUAACUGAUGCAGAUCAAGGAAGGAAUAAAUCUUAAGCUUGCAACUACCGGUGACCAUGAGGAGACUUCUGUAGGUGAUCAUCAGAGGGGAAGUCCUAUGAUUGAAGCAUCUCACUUAGAAAGCUAAACCAAUGAUGAUGGCAGCAUAAUCAGAAAAAGGGAGAUCAAUCAGGGGAGACAGAUAAAAUGAGGUGCAAAAAAAGUCCUACAAAGCAGUAGAAAUGGGGGCUUAAAUUUGCCAGCCUCAAAUAGCAAGGAAAAGUUUGAGAGGAGGGAAGACAAGUAAGGGAGCUGGGAAAGAAGGAAGGAGAAAGGAGAGCUUUAAAGCAGAGUAGAGCAAGGCAGUGGAGGGCCAGAUCAACCCAGCUCCCUUGGUAUCCUAUGAUGUAAAAAUGAACAGGCUUAUUAAAAAGACAUUUAUACUGAAAUAAGUAGGUAGUAUAGCAUAAAGGUUAAAAUCACAUACUCUGGAUUCAAACCCUGUUUUCAUUUGGUACCAGCUAAGAUCCUAGGACAGUCCUUAUCUUUGAAGUCCUCACUUUCCUUAUCUGCAAAUUUCAAUAUUAUGUGUCUAACUCACUAGGUUACUACAGAAUUAAUAAUUCCUGUUAUACAUUUAUUAUAGUACCUGGAGUACAGCAACAAUUGACUUAUAACUUACCUAUUAUUCUGAUUUCAAGCUUACAAAGUAUUUGGAAAACUUUAUGCUGUAACUUACCCGAAUUCACUUUUUCUAUAAACCAUUGCAUAUCAUGUUUAACCCCACAUGAAAUAUUUAAAUAUCAACUAUAUAAACAGAAAACUCAUUUUUUCAUAUCCCUCUGGAUACAACUGACUGCAGGUAAACUCUAAAGAAAAGCUGAUUUCUUAUGCCACUAAGAUUAAUGUCCCAUCUCCCAAUUUUGGGUAGCACUUUCACCCUAGUGAAACCAAAGCUCUCAAGCUAUUGAUACCAUUUUGCAAAAUCAAUUUGUACAAUGUGAAGACACCAUUACAGAGGAUUUGCCUAGAGAUGACUCUCAUUAUCAAAAUGAAUAUAGUAUGGGAUGUGGAAAAGUGGGUGGUCCUUUGAAUCACCAGCAUCCUUUCUGUAUUACUGAGCUACUAGACAACACUCUACCUCAACAACUUGUUUCUUCUCUGCUCUUCUCUUCCUGGUUCUGCUACCAUCAUUCCUCAGGGGACUCCUAAUGGUGAACUCUAUUGGUUUCACACAGUUAGUAUUUUCCACUUCCUGGCAUUCUUGACUAGUUUUUUUUUUUUUUUUUUUUUUUUUUUUUUUUCCCAAAUACAUGCUGACAGUGUAAUAGCUCUAUUGUUAUUUCCCAUUAUUAUCACAACAAAUAUCAGGUCUGUAUAUAUGCCUACAGGAUUUUAUCCACAGCCUCAUUCUUUUCUUCAUUUUCCCUUCAUGUGCUCUCUCCAUAACCUAAUCAUACUAGUUUUCCUGCAGUUUGGAGAAGGAGCCUAACUCUCUCCUGCUCCAGUACCUAAGCACUGGCUUCCGUUCUCCAACUUCUUUUCUGCUGGGGCCUAGGUUGCUCUUCUCCAAAUUCAUGACAAUUUUCCAGUGAAUCUCCAACACAUUCUUCAGCUCUUACCUGGAAUUUUUCUUCGUCACUCCACCUUUGCUCUGUUCCCACCCCAUACAAAUUCAAAUGCCCUCCUUAUCAUUGUCCCAGAAUCUUGUAUCUUCUCUUCCUGACCCUAAAAUAUAAAAUAACCUCUCUAAUUCCCUCCUAGGCUUUUCUAUAAAUACCCUAUUUGAAUUGCACCUGCCAUUAUAGAUAUAUUAUCCUUCUGGUUAUUUAUUAUUCAUUUCCCUAUUAGAAUUUAAAUCGCAUUGAAACUAAUACUUUGUAUUAUCUCACCUUUAGAUUCUCAGCAUCUAUGGAGUAGAUGAGAAAUGUAAAUGUUUUAUGUAUCGAUAAAUAAAUAUAAGUUUCAGGAAGCAUAUGUGGCUCUUUAACCUAGGGGACCUUCCCCCUAGCUAGGAGAGGUAGGUGAUGUGUCUCUAUUUACCUGUGAUGAAACCAGCUAAGAGAGGUUAAACAUGUUUCCAAGAGUCUACAUCCAAUAGGUAACAGCAGAGAUUAAAAUGUAUCUUUAAUUUAGAAAUCCAAGGCUCUAUUCAAAAAUUCAUGCUGCUUCUUACUGGCUGCUCAGUUUCUUGCACUGUGAUCCUAUAACUGCCCAAAUGAACUCACCUCAUGUUUCUGCCCUGCUAGACCUGCUCUGCUGCUUUCUGCACUAAGUUCCCCAGACCUUAGCAGUUCCUUCAUUCUUGGCUGAAGAAACUUGGACUCAUUUCCUUACAGAACCAUUCCUAUCGAACUCUACACAUUGCUCUCUCGCCCCACCUACAAAGGGUGCAAAUAUGAAGACUGUCAGAAUCCAAACAUGAGUCGAAGCUUCCGCUAUGCUUAGAUUCCUUCUUGACCGAGUUAUUUAUCUCCAGAUGAUAUAUUAAUAACCCUUGAAAGAUUAGUUUCAACCAAUACAAAUAAAUCUUUCUUUCUGACCAAAGAAAUGUAGUCAUGGGAUAUUUUGUCCAUAAAUGUUAAGCAUGUUGAGGUUGUCUGAAAUAACGGAGAGAGAAAAAGGAGGGACGGUGUUUUUUGUUUGGCCCUUCUUUCCUGUUUUUUUUUUCCUUGGAUACAUUUUAUCUAUGGCCUUCUCAUUGGAAGUUAAAAUAGCCCAGAAAAUUAGAUUUCUCUGCCUUUUACAAAUGUGGAUUUGAAGCAUGCUGUUCCCAGAAGCCUAAACCUUUCAUCUUUAUCAACAGUAGCAUACACCUCCCAUAAGCAUUUCAGAGCCUGGGUACUACCUCCCAUUUAACCUGUGAGAGGGAAACAUAGCUUCUUGUAUAGAUCGAUGAGGCGCAAACUGCCUAUUUUAAAUAUCAGAAUGACUUUAAAUGUUCAUCAUUUGAUGUCCUUAAGGGAUAAUACAAAGAAAUGCAUAAUAUUAAGAACAGGGCAUGAAUAUGUAUAUCCAGAUUAUGUAUAAAUGAUAUAUAAUCACUUGUUAACCUUUAUAUUCCUUUUUAGAAUAAGUUUUAAAUGAGUAAGUCUAGGAGGAAUGAACUGUCUUUUGCCCUUUCCCUUCCCUAGGAGUUUUAUAGUUCAACACUCCCCUCCAUUUAAAAAAUAUGGUUUUAAUAUUCUUUUCAGAAUGAGUUUCACACUUUAUUGUAGUUCACAUAAUAUCCAAACACAUUCUAAGUGGGUAUUUCAAUUGUGAGUGUUCAAUUAUUGUUGUUAGAACAGAAGUUAUGGCAAGAAAUAAAAUCCUGUUCUGCCACAUUUAUCACACUUGGCACUUGAGGUGAUGAGGGUGGACACAGACCAUUCUCAUCCAUUCUCAGAGCCUGAAAAAUGGCACCCAUAGAUAUCUCUACAGUAAGUAAACCAGGGUAUUGGAGAGCCAACUCAGAAAAAAUGGAAUUCUUCUAGUUUAAGGGAAGAAGGUGGAUUCCUACCCACGCAGACACUUGAUUCCUGAGGCACUGUUGAAAAAACUCUUGAUGUUCAGCUUGGAAAUUCAUAAUCCAUUCUAGCCUCCCUGGGUUAAGUUGCAGAAAACAGAGGUCCAGUGUAGCUCUGUGACUUGCCAAAGUGACUGAGGCACAGUCAACAGGUGAGAUUAGAACUAUAGAAGGUAGUUUGUUCUCGCUGUGUCACCAGGGCUCCACAGUACUGGACUUUUACUCGUCAAAUGGUUAACUGAAUUUUUAAGUACUCUGAUUGGUUUGAGUUUAUGAGACCUCCUUGAUUCAGCCUUUUGAUACUAUUUCUAACAGGGCAUAAAAUGUCAAAAAGUAAAACUAUAUAUUAAAAAUACCAUUGUGACAUUAAAUAAUUGAAUAACUAUAUAUUGUUCUUCUGAGUUUCUCAUUGGUUAGAAGCAAAGAACUAAAUCAUGAGUCCAAAAGCCACUAUCUUUGUCAUUCCAGCACUUACAGACCUAGUGUCAACUUACACACUGGCAUUAAGUAAACAUUAAAAUAAAUGUAACAUUGUAACUGAUUAAGAUGAUAAAAAUGUGGCACAUGACAAUGUAAUGGCCUAUAGCAAGACCUUCUCUUACUCUGAAGCACCAGAGAGGAUGUAGAGAUAUCUUGAAUGGAAAUAAAUGGUUUAAGAGGACAAAUGUUGUUGACGUUGAAAACUAAUUGUCUUGUUUCAUUUAAAAAUGUUUCUGUAGUUUUACAUAAGUCCGUGAGGCUUUUUCUCCAGUUUUAUGACAAAACAUACCAUAGGCAUAAUAGUUCAAAUUCAUAACGAUAUGCUUUUACAAAAUAACCAUUUAUUUCUAUGAUCUCACUAAAGAUAACUAUAUAAAUACUAUAUGUGAAUGAACAUGCUCUAUUCUAAUAUAUGAUGUAUGACUUAUCCCAGGCAUGCAAAUUUUUUCUUCUCUUUAGCGGUAAACUCUGCAUUAUAUUGAAGGAAAAUAUCUUCAAUACAGGCUAAACAGAAAAAAUAAAAGUAGUUUCUAUUGAAUAAAUAGCUUUGGGAUAAAGUUCUUUCUGCAACAGGUUGUAUAGGGGUGUUUUUUUUUCAUGAAUUUAAUACUAUCAUUUCUAUCAUUCAGUUACUCAUAAUUACAGUUCACUAGCAAAUCAUGGAAGUGAACAAUACAUAUAUUUCCUUCUGAUAGAUACAGAGAGAGAGAAUAUUAAAAAGACUGAAAGCUAAUCCAUCACAGGCCUUGUCCCACUGCUGGAAAUAAUAACGUGAACAUCCCCAAAAUAAAGCAGCAUAUUGGGUGUUCCUGCUGUGGCGCAAUAGGAUUUGGGGGUGUCUUAGGAGCACUGGGAUGCAGGUUUGAUCCCUGGCCUAUCACAGUAGGUUAAGGAUCCUGCAUUGUUGCACCUGUGGCUUAGGCCAUAACUCUAGCACAGAUUUGAUCCCUGGCCUGGGAACUUCAUAUGCCAUG
Molecule: long non-coding RNA, 6327 nt
Filed under: Sus scrofa (pig)
Lineage: Eukaryota; Metazoa; Chordata; Mammalia; Artiodactyla; Suidae
Description: lncRNA (ENSSSCG00000056076.1)
Source: RNAcentral